UUGGAGGGCAAGUCUGGUGCCAGCAGCCGCGGUAAUUCCAGCUCCAAUAGCGUAUAUUAAAGUUGUUGCAGUUAAAAAGCUCGUAGUUGAAUUUCGGGGUUCUACCGUUGGUCGGGCUUUGUCUGUACUGGUGUGUAGAAUUUCUACUUUCUGGGGAACCAUCAUGCUAUUAAUUUAGCGUGGUGGGAAACCAGGACCUUUACCUUGAAAAAAUUAGUGUGUUCAAAGCAGGCUUAUGUCUGAAUACAUUAGCGUGGAAUAAUAGAAUAGGACGGUGGUCCUGUUUUGUUGGUUUCUGAAUCACCGUAAUGAUUAAUAGGGAUAGUUGGGGGCAUUAGUAUUCAAUUGUCAGAGGUGAAAUUCUUGGAUUUAUUGAAGACUAACUUCUGCGAAAGCAUUUGCCAAGGAUGUUUUCAUUAAUCAAGAACGAAAGUUAGGGGAUCGAAGACGAUCAGAUACCGUCGUAGUCUUAACCAUAAACUAUGCCGACUAGGGAUCGGACGAUGUUAAUUUUUCUUGACUCGUUCGGCGCCUUACGGGAAAC
Molecule: ribosomal RNA, 544 nt
Filed under: uncultured Glomeromycotina
Lineage: Eukaryota; Fungi; Glomeromycota
Description: SSU rRNA
Rfam family: Eukaryotic small subunit ribosomal RNA
Source: RNAcentral